CUGCCAUUCAUUUCCUUUCCUCUUACCCCUUCCCUCUCUGAUUCAUCAUUUAGCCAAGCACAUGCCUCUCCAGAGCCAGCUGUCUGCUGCUUCAGGAAGAACAUAAGCACCCUUUCCCCUCCAACACACUUUGUAUUAACUAGUCCUUGGAAAUUUGACUUGAAAUCUUGGCAGCUGCCGAAGCCUGAAACUCUGCCUACUCUGCCAAGACAAGGACUUUCUUCUUUACAACCAGCGCUCCAGAUAACCUCGGGGAACCAGCACUUCCCAGACCGCAGACUACAUCUUUAGAGGAAGCACAACUGUGCCUUUUUCUGAAAAUCCCUUUUUCUGGUGGAAUUGAGAAAGAAAUAAAACUAUCCAGAUAUGCGUUCCA
This 376-nucleotide small RNA is filed under the name Pongo abelii (Sumatran orangutan). Its description in RNAcentral is "processed transcript". The record is from RNAcentral. Lineage: Eukaryota; Metazoa; Chordata; Mammalia; Primates; Hominidae.